AGCAGUCGCCACGGUAAUACGUAGGUGGCAAGCGUUAUCCGGAAUUAUUGGGCGUAAAGCGCGCGUAGGCGGUUUUUUAAGUCUGAUGUGAAAGCCCACGGCUCAACCGUGGAGGGUCAUUGGAAACUGGAAAACUUGAGUGCAGAAGAGGAAAGUGGAAUUCCAUGUGUAGCGGUGAAAUGCGCAGAGAUAUGGAGGAACACCAGUGGCGAAGGCGACUUUCUGGUCUGUAACUGACGCUGAUGUGCGAAAGCGUGGGGAUCAAACAGGAUUAGAGACCCGAGUAGUCCCUGUCUCUUAUAC
This 303-nucleotide ribosomal RNA is filed under the name uncultured bacterium. RNAcentral describes it as "partial 16S ribosomal RNA". It matches the Rfam family "Bacterial small subunit ribosomal RNA", at positions 507 to 807 of the family's 1533-position model. The record is from RNAcentral.